GCUGGGCGUGGUGGCUCCCGCCUGUAAUCCCAGCACUUUGGGAGGCUGAGGCGGGUGGAUCACCUGAGGUCAGGAGUUCGAGACCAGCCUGGCCAACAUGGUGAAACCCUGUCUCUA
Molecule: non-coding RNA, 117 nt
Filed under: Pan troglodytes (chimpanzee)
Lineage: Eukaryota; Metazoa; Chordata; Mammalia; Primates; Hominidae
Source: Rfam by way of RNAcentral